AGGUCACGGCGAGACGAGCCGUUUAUCAUUACGAUAGGUGUCAAGUGGAAGUGCAGUGAUGUAUGCAGCUGAGGCAUCCUAACAGAUCGAUUGAUUUGAACCU
Molecule: ribosomal RNA, 103 nt
Filed under: Rheum tanguticum
Lineage: Eukaryota; Viridiplantae; Streptophyta; Magnoliopsida; Caryophyllales; Polygonaceae
Description: 4.5S ribosomal RNA
Source: RNAcentral